UACGUAGGGUGCAAGCGUUAAUCGGAAUUACUGGGCGUAAAGGGCUCGUAGGCGGCCAACUAAGUCGGACGUGAAAUCCCCAGGCUCAACCUGGGAACUGCGUCCGAUACUGGAUGGCUUGAAUCCGGGAGAGGGAUGCAGAAUUCCAGGUGUAGCGGUGAAAUGCGUAGAUAUCUGGAGGAAUACCGGUGGCGAAGGCGGCAUCCUGGACCGGCAUUGACGCUGAGGAGCGAAAGCCAGGGGAGCAAACGGG
This 253-nucleotide ribosomal RNA is filed under the name uncultured bacterium. Its description in RNAcentral is "partial 16S ribosomal RNA". It matches the Rfam family "Bacterial small subunit ribosomal RNA", at positions 524 to 776 of the family's 1533-position model. The record is from RNAcentral.